Molecule: ribosomal RNA, 2883 nt
Filed under: Priestia aryabhattai
Lineage: Bacteria; Bacillati; Bacillota; Bacilli; Caryophanales; Bacillaceae
Description: partial 23S ribosomal RNA
Rfam family: Bacterial large subunit ribosomal RNA
Source: RNAcentral
AUGGUUAAGUUAGAAAGGGCGCACGGUGAAUGCCUUGGCACUAGGAGCCGAUGAAGGACGGGACUAACACCGAUAUGCUUCGGGGAGCUGUAAGUGAGCUUUGAUCCGGAGAUUUCCGAAUGGGGAAACCCACUGUUCGUAAUGGAACAGUAUCUUUAUCUGAAUACAUAGGAUAUUGAAGGCAGACCCGGGGAACUGAAACAUCUAAGUACCCGGAGGAAGAGAAAGCAAAUGCGAUUUCCUGAGUAGCGGCGAGCGAAACGGAAUUAGCCCAAACCAAGAGGCUUGCCUCUUGGGGUUGUAGGACACUCUAUACGGAGUUACAAAGGAACGAAGUAAAUGAAGCGACCUGGAAAGGUCCGUCGAAGAAGGUAACAACCCUGUAGUUGAAACUUCGUUCCCUCUUGAGUGGAUCCUGAGUACGGCGGAACACGUGAAAUUCCGUCGGAAGCUGGGAGGACCAUCUCCCAAGGCUAAAUACUACCUAGUGACCGAUAGUGAACCAGUACCGUGAGGGAAAGGUGAAAAGCACCCCGGAAGGGGAGUGAAAGAGAUCCUGAAACCGUGUGCCUACAAGUAGUCAGAGCCCGUUAACGGGUGAUGGCGUGCCUUUUGUAGAAUGAACCGGCGAGUUACGAUCCCAUGCAAGGUUAAGCUGAUAAGGCGGAGCCGUAGCGAAAGCGAGUCUGAAUAGGGCGUUUAGUAUGUGGUUGUAGACCCGAAACCAGGUGAUCUACCCAUGUCCAGGGUGAAGUUCAGGUAACACUGAAUGGAGGCCCGAACCCACGCACGUUGAAAAGUGCGGGGAUGAGGUGUGGGUAGCGGAGAAAUUCCAAUCGAACCUGGAGAUAGCUGGUUCUCUCCGAAAUAGCUUUAGGGCUAGCCUCAUGUUGUGAGAGUCUUGGAGGUAGAGCACUGAUUGGACUAGGGGCCCCCAACGGGUUACCGAAUUCAGUCAAACUCCGAAUGCCAAAGACUUAUCCAUGGGAGUCAGACUGCGAGUGAUAAGAUCCGUAGUCAAAAGGGAAACAGCCCAGACCACCAGCUAAGGUCCCCAAGUAUACGUUAAGUGGAAAAGGAUGUGGAGUUGCUUAGACAACCAGGAUGUUGGCUUAGAAGCAGCCACCAUUUAAAGAGUGCGUAAUAGCUCACUGGUCGAGUGACUCUGCGCCGAAAAUGUACCGGGGCUAAACGUAUCACCGAAGCUGUGGAUUGACAUCUUUGAUGUCAGUGGUAGGAGAGCGUUCUAAGUGCAGCGAAGUCAGACCGUAAGGACUGGUGGAGCGCUUAGAAGUGAGAAUGCCGGUAUGAGUAGCGAAAGACAAGUGAGAAUCUUGUCCACCGAAUGCCUAAGGUUUCCUGAGGAAGGCUCGUCCGCUCAGGGUUAGUCGGGACCUAAGCCGAGGCUGAAAAGCGUAGGCGAUGGCCAACAGGUUGAUAUUCCUGUACCACCUCCCCGCCGUUUGAGUAAUGGGGGGACGCAGUAGGAUAGGGUAAGCGCGCUGCUGGAUAUGCGCGUUCAAGCAGUUAGGCUGAUGAGUAGGCAAAUCCGCUCAUCAUAAAGGCUGAGCUGUGAUGACGAGGGAAUUAUAGUACCGAAGUUCCUGAUUCCACACUGCCAAGAAAAGCCUCUAGCGAGGCGGGAGGUGCCCGUACCGCAAACCGACACAGGUAGGCGAGGAGAGAAUCCUAAGGUGAUCGAGAGAACUCUCGUUAAGGAACUCGGCAAAAUGACCCCGUAACUUCGGGAGAAGGGGUGCUCUGGUAGGGUGUAUAGCCCGAGAGAGCCGCAGUGAAUAGGCCCAGGCGACUGUUUAGCAAAAACACAGGUCUCUGCGAAGCCGCAAGGCGAAGUAUAGGGGCUGACGCCUGCCCGGUGCUGGAAGGUUAAGAGGAGGGGUUAUCCUUUGGGAGAAGCUCUGAAUCGAAGCCCCAGUAAACGGCGGCCGUAACUAUAACGGUCCUAAGGUAGCGAAAUUCCUUGUCGGGUAAGUUCCGACCCGCACGAAAGGCGUAACGAUCUGGGCACUGUCUCAACGAGAGACUCGGUGAAAUUAUAGUACCUGUGAAGAUGCAGGUUACCCGCGACAGGACGGAAAGACCCCGUGGAGCUUUACUGUAGCCUGAUAUUGAAUUUUGGUACAGCUUGUACAGGAUAGGUAGGAGCCUGAGAAGCCGGAGCGCUAGCUUCGGUGGAGGCGUCGGUGGGAUACUACCCUGGCUGUAUUGAAAUUCUAACCCGCGGCCCUGAUCGGGCCGGGAGACAGUGUCAGGUGGGCAGUUUGACUGGGGCGGUCGCCUCCUAAAAUGUAACGGAGGCGCCCAAAGGUUCCCUCAGAAUGGUUGGAAAUCAUUCGUAGAGUGUAAAGGCACAAGGGAGCUUGACUGCGAGACCUACAAGUCGAGCAGGGACGAAAGUCGGGCUUAGUGAUCCGGUGGUUCCGCAUGGAAGGGCCAUCGCUCAACGGAUAAAAGCUACCCCGGGGAUAACAGGCUUAUCUCCCCCAAGAGUCCACAUCGACGGGGAGGUUUGGCACCUCGAUGUCGGCUCAUCGCAUCCUGGGGCUGUAGUCGGUCCCAAGGGUUGGGCUGUUCGCCCAUUAAAGCGGUACGCGAGCUGGGUUCAGAACGUCGUGAGACAGUUCGGUCCCUAUCCGUCGUGGGCGUAGGAAAUUUGAGAGGAGCUGUCCUUAGUACGAGAGGACCGGGAUGGACACACCGCUGGUGUACCAGUUGUCUUGCCAAAGGCAUCGCUGGGUAGCUAUGUGUGGACGGGAUAAGUGCUGAAAGCAUCUAAGCAUGAAGCCCCCCUCAAGAUGAGAUUUCCCAUAGCGCAAGCUAGUAAGAUCCCUGAAAGAUGAUCAGGUUGAUAGGUCAGAGGUG